This 443-nucleotide ribosomal RNA is filed under the name uncultured bacterium. Its description in RNAcentral is "partial 16S ribosomal RNA". It matches the Rfam family "Bacterial small subunit ribosomal RNA", at positions 338 to 795 of the family's 1533-position model. The record is from RNAcentral.
CCUACGGGAGGCAGCAGUGGGGAAUAUUGGGCAAUGGGCGCAAGCCUGACCCAGCAACGCCGCGUGAAGGAAGAAGGCUUUCGGGUUGUACACUUCUUUUCUGAGGGACGAAGAAAGUGACGGUACCUCAGGAAUAAGCCACGGCUAACUAUGGGCCAGCCGCCGCUGUAAUACGUAGGUGGCAAGCGUUAUCCGGAUUUAUUGGGUGUAAAGGGCGUGUAGGCGGGGAAGCAAGUCAGAUGUGAAAACUCAGGGCUCAACCCUGAGCCUGCAUUUGAAACUGUUUUUCUUGAGUGCUGGUGAGGCAAUCGGAAUGCCGUGUGUAGCGGUGAAAUGCGGAGAUAUACGGAGGAACACCAGUGGUGAAGGCGGAUUGCUGGACAGUAACUGACGCUGAGGCGCGAAAGCGUGGGGAGCAAACAGGAUUAGAUACCCUAGUAGUC